Molecule: ribosomal RNA, 608 nt
Filed under: Chryseobacterium sp. RZ3MS17
Lineage: Bacteria; Pseudomonadati; Bacteroidota; Flavobacteriia; Flavobacteriales; Weeksellaceae
Description: bacterial SSU rRNA
Rfam family: Bacterial small subunit ribosomal RNA
Source: RNAcentral
RUUUGUUCUUSGGARCAGAGAGAGCGGCGUACGGGUGCGGAACWYGUGUGCAACCUGCCUUUAUCAGGGGGAUAGCCUUUCGAAAGGAAGAUUAAUACCCCAUAAUAUAUUAGAUGGCAUCAUUUGAUAUUGAAAGCUGCGGCGGAUAAAGAUGGGCACGCGCAAGAUUAGAUAGUUGGUAGGGUAACGGCCUACCAAGUCAGUGAUCUUUAGGGGGCCUGAGAGGGUGAUCCCCCACACUGGUACUGAGACACGGACCAGACUCCUACGGGAGGCAGCAGUGAGGAAUAUUGGACAAUGGGUGAGAGCCUGAUCCAGCCAUCCCGCGUGAAGGAUGACGGCCCUAUGGGUUGUAAACUUCUUUUGUAUAGGGAUAAACCUUUCCACGUGUGGGAAGCUGAAGGUWCUAUACGAAUAAGCACCGGCUAACUCCGUGCCAGCAGCCGCGGUAAUACGGAGGGUGCAAGCGUUAUCCGGAUUUAUUGGGUUUAAAGGGUCCGUAGGCGGAUCUGUAAGUCAGUGGUGAAAUCUCACAGCUUAACUGUGAAACUGCCAUUGAUACUGCAGGUCUUGAGUAAGGUAGAAGUGGCUGGAAUAAGUAGUGUAGC